Long non-coding RNA from Tripterygium wilfordii, 1918 nucleotides. RefSeq lists it as uncharacterized. The record is from RefSeq and is a predicted model, not a curated record. The transcript is spliced from 2 exons. Lineage: Eukaryota; Viridiplantae; Streptophyta; Magnoliopsida; Celastrales; Celastraceae.
UCGACCUAACUCGCUCUAACGUCUUCUCCUUCAAGCAGCUUCGCCUGUGUUGUCUUCCUCUUUCAAAGAUCUCCAUCAGCGACGGCUAUGGAAAUAAGGCCCAGAAUCGUGAAGCAUUGUUUCUUGUAAAGGUUGCGAUUUUAGUUAUCGGCGAAGGUCUCGAUUUUAGUUGUUCGCGAAAAUCCUCCCGUAUAUCAGGGUUCCUGCUAGUACUCUGACGACAUCCACAUCUUACCCUCUUCGGUAUAACAAUAACAGGUCAGUUUCUCAAAAUUUCAAGUAAUUUUCAUCGCAGAUGAUCUUGUAAAUUUAUAAAUGAUACACGAUUAUUUGUUUGUCACGAUACCCCCUGUUUGUGAUUUUUGAGAAGCUCCAUCAAUGUUGCUGCUGUGUUUGUCCUUCACUUGGAAGCUUCUGGAUAUUUUAUGGAAGAAUUUUUUUUUAUGUUCUGAUUCAAUGAAUCAAUGUCCUGCCUUUUUAAGAAUUGCUUCAAUGUUUUGCUUUUUUAAUGCAUAUUUUACAAUAUGAUUUUUUUUUCCUGGUUAUGGAUGGCGUAAGUACAGGAUGUAAUUCAUCCUCUGAGAUUGAUAUCGGUUCUUCCUCUUCCAAAGAUUUAUGUCACAUUCCUCAAGUUAGGUUUGAAAAAAUUCCAAAAGUCGGGCAAGAAUUUGAAUCAUUAGUUGAAGCCCGGAAUUUUUACAACGAAUAUGCAAGAGAAGCUAGUAAGAAAAACAAAAAUGAUGGAAUUGUUAGUAGGGAAUUUGUUUGCUAUAAACAAGGGACUUGAGAAGUGAGAAAUUUAAAUUCAGUUCAGAGUUGGCAACGAGGGAUAACGAGAGAAGGAUGUAAGGCUAAGAUAUCUCUCGUAAAGUCAGGUUCUAAACAGAGUUUUGUUGUCUCAACAUUUUAUGAGGUCCACAAUCAUGUGCUUACAACACCUAGAAAAGUGCAUUUGCUAAGGUCUCGCCGUUCUAUGUGUCCUGCUAAGAAGGCUUUGACACAAUAAUUUAGUGCAGCGGAUGUGUCAAUUCAUCAACAAAUUAGUAAUUUGGAGUUAGAAACAGGAAGUAUGGAAAAUAUUGGUUGUAUAGAUAAAUGUGACGCUAAAGUAAUGUUGAAGCGCAAUACAUUGCACAAGCUUGCAUCUAAUAUCAUUGAGGCCGCUUUGGUCAAUGAAGAAAUAUAUAAUCUUGUGGUAGAAAGGUUCGAGUCCCUUCUAUGCGAGUUGAACAAAAUGACACUUAAUGAAGGAGGACAAUCUUCUGCACCUAGUAUUGUUCUUUCACAACGGGUUUGCAAUGAGCUUGAAAAGGUUGGAGCAAAAGGUUGUGGGAAAACUGGAAAAGGCUAAAAGGAGGUAAAUAAUUGCGACUAUGAACAGGGAAAGCACAUGACAAAAGAAAUUGUCCUACGCUUAAUAAUAUGUAAGUAUUAAGAUUUUUAUAAUUUAUAUAAUGAAUGAUUUCCCCUUUAGUGAUUCAACUGAAUCACUAAUACUUGUUAUGAUUGCAAGAAUGAUGCUGUGGAGGAGCUUUGAUGUUGCUGUCUAGUUGAUAAACUUUGCAGGAAUGAUGCUGUUGAUAAGCUUUGAUGCAAGAAUGAUGCUGUGGCUAAUCUUUUAUGCUGCUGUUUAGAUGAUAAACUUUGCUGAAGUUCAUGUAAUUUUAUACUCUGUUAAGUUGCUGUGAUUAUAAUAUGAAGUUUGGAUGAUUUUUUUGAACUGCUGCUUGUUGAUUAGAUCAAGACAAGUAUUUUCUUCUGGGGUUAUUUCUAAUUCUGCAAAACUUGGCUCUCAUUGAAGGUAAUGGUAUGAUUCAGUUUCUGUGUGUCUUCAAUGACAUUUGAUUUAGUCUCUGUGUGGCUCUCAUUGAAGCUUAUAUAGUAUGAUUCAAUCAAUGAUAGCAGCAAUUUUGAUUAA